RNAcentral lists this ribosomal RNA (491 nucleotides) under uncultured bacterium. RNAcentral's name for it is "partial 16S ribosomal RNA". It matches the Rfam family "Bacterial small subunit ribosomal RNA", at positions 29 to 506 of the family's 1533-position model. The record is from RNAcentral.
AGUGAACGCUGGCGGUAGGCCUAACACAUGCAAGUCGAACGGCAGCACAGUAAGAGCUUGCUCUUACGGGUGGCGAGUGGCGGACGGGUGAGGAAUACAUCGGAAUCUACUUUUUCGUGGGGGAUAACGUAGGGAAACUUACGCUAAUACCGCGUACGACCUACGGGUGAAAGCAGGGGAUCUUCGGACCUUGCGCGAUUGAAUGAGCCGAUGUCGGAUUAGCUAGUUGGCGGGGUAAAGGCCCACCAAGGCGACGAUCCGUAGCUGGUCUGAGAGGAUGAUCAGCCACACUGGAGCUGAGACACGGUCCAGACUCCUACGGGAGGCAGCAGUGGGGAAUAUUGGACAAUGGGCGCAAGCCUGAUCCAGCCAUACCGCGUGGGUGAAGAAGGCCUUCGGGUUGUAAAGCCCUUUUGUUGGGAAAGAAAAGCAGCAGGUUAAUACCCCGCUGUUCUGACGGUACCCAAAGAAUAAGCACCGGCUAACUUCGU